CUCAACCUGGGAACUGCAUCUGAUACUGGCAAGCUUGAGUCUCGUAGAGGGGGGUAGAAUUCCAGGUGUAGCGGUGAAAUGCGUAGAGAUCUGGAGGAAUACCGGUGGCGAAGGCGGCCCCCUGGACAAAGACUGACGCUCAGGUGCGAAAGCGUGGGGAGCAAACAGGAUUAGAUACCCUGGUAGUCCACGCCGUAAACGAUGUCGAUUUGGAGGUUGUGCCCUUGAGGCGUGGCUUCCGGAGCUAACGCGUUAAAUCGACCGCCUGGGGAGUACGGCCGCAAGGUUAAAACUCAAAUGAAUUGACGGGGGCCCGCACAAGCGGUGGAGCAUGUGGUUUAAUUCGAUGCAACGCGAAGAACCUUACCUGGUCUUGACAUCCACAGAACUUUCCAGAGAUGGAUUGGUGCCUUCGGGAACUGUGAGACAG
RNAcentral lists this ribosomal RNA (430 nucleotides) under Myxococcus sp. AM001. RNAcentral's name for it is "bacterial SSU rRNA". It matches the Rfam family "Bacterial small subunit ribosomal RNA", at positions 608 to 1037 of the family's 1533-position model. Lineage: Bacteria; Pseudomonadati; Myxococcota; Myxococcia; Myxococcales; Myxococcaceae. The record is from RNAcentral.